Molecule: ribosomal RNA, 458 nt
Filed under: uncultured bacterium
Lineage: Bacteria
Description: bacterial SSU rRNA
Rfam family: Bacterial small subunit ribosomal RNA
Source: RNAcentral
AUUGAACGCUGGCGGCAUGCCUUACACAUGCAAGUCGAACGGCAGCACGGGAGCAAUCCUGGUGGCGAGUGGCGAACGGGUGAGUAAUAUAUCGGAACGUGCCCGGUCGUGGGGAUAACGUAGCGAAAGCUACGCUAAUACCGCAUACGAUCUACGGAUGAAAGCGGGGGAUCGCAAGACCUCGCGCGAUUGGAGCGGCCGAUAUCAGAUUAGGUAGUUGGUGAGGUAAAGGCUCACCAAGCCGACGAUCUGUAGCUGGUCUGAGAGGACGACCAGCCACACUGGGACUGAGACACGGCCCAGACUCCUACGGGAGGCAGCAGUGGGGAAUUUUGGACAAUGGGCGCAAGCCUGAUCCAGCAAUGCCGCGUGCAGGAUGAAGGCCUUCGGUUGGUAACUAGGCUUUUGUUACGGUAACGAAACCGGUAGGAGGACGUCCUUAAUAACCUAGUUUAGUC